Molecule: ribosomal RNA, 482 nt
Filed under: uncultured bacterium
Lineage: Bacteria
Description: partial 16S ribosomal RNA
Rfam family: Bacterial small subunit ribosomal RNA
Source: RNAcentral
AUUGAACGCUGGCGGCAUGCCUUACACAUGCAAGUCGAACGGUAACAGGUCUUCGGAUGCUGACGAGUGGCGAACGGGUGAGUAAUACAUCGGAACGUGCCCGAUCGUGGGGGAUAACGGAGCGAAAGCUUUGCUAAUACCGCAUACGAUCUACGGAUGAAAGCAGGGGACCGCAAGGCCUUGCGCGGACGGAGCGGCCGAUGGCAGAUUAGGUAGUUGGUGGGAUAAAAGCUUACCAAGCCGACGAUCUGUAGCUGGUCUGAGAGGACGACCAGCCACACUGGGACUGAGACACGGCCCAGACUCCUACGGGAGGCAGCAGUGGGGAAUUUUGGACAAAGGGCGAAAGCCUGAUCCAGCCAUGCCGCGUGCAGGAUGAAGGCCUUCAGGUUGUAAACUGCUUUUGUACGGAACGAAAAGACUCUUUCUAAUAAAGAGGGUCCAUGACGGUACCGUAAGAAUAAGCACCGGCUAACUACGUG